GCCCUUGUUGUCUAAUGGUUAUGACGUCAGACUUCUACCACUAGAAAAAUCUGGAAGUUCGGGGUUCGAGUCCCCGCUAGGGUU
RNAcentral lists this transfer RNA (84 nucleotides) under Laccaria amethystina LaAM-08-1. It matches the Rfam family "tRNA". From Rfam's summary of the family: Transfer RNA (tRNA) molecules are approximately 80 nucleotides in length. Lineage: Eukaryota; Fungi; Basidiomycota; Agaricomycetes; Agaricales; Hydnangiaceae. The record is from Rfam by way of RNAcentral.